GCAGGUUACAGAACGCGGGGCAGGCGGGGCGGCCAGGCAGCAAGGUGGCGCAGGGAAGCAGAGGCGGCUGCAAGCACAUCCUCAGCCAGAGCCAGAAAGGGACACAUGGCCUCAAAUAGAUUGUAUUUGGGUUUCUAGCCACCACAGCCCUGGAAGGAACUAAUGUUGAGUCUCCAGAGGUGCAUGGUGAAAUUCACUGAACAUUGAAUUAAACAAACAUAACUAUAUUUGGGGAGGUAUACCUCUAAUGCUACAAAACUUGCAACAAAAAAGAAGCCCUACUCCUAACUAUGAUCAAGAAGAGUAGGGGGAGUCAACAGGAGAGAGUCUCCCGUCGACAUCGCAUAGUAUGGACCCCGUGAGGAAAAGAAAAGCCCAGUGGAGUAAAAGUAGCUUGCUAGCUGGGACCCUAAAAAUUGCUCAGUAAGAAUUCUCAGUUCCUCUCAUCGCUAAGCUUGAAAUUUAAAAAUGUCAGUAUUUUAAUUUCUGAUUAUGAUGCUGCCUUUGUAAUGACCACACGCUGUUUCGAA
Molecule: long non-coding RNA, 530 nt
Organism: Mauremys mutica (yellowpond turtle)
Lineage: Eukaryota; Metazoa; Chordata; Testudines; Geoemydidae
Exons: 5
Source: RefSeq, a predicted model, not a curated record